This is a non-coding RNA of Phrynosoma platyrhinos (Desert horned lizard), 71 nucleotides long. Lineage: Eukaryota; Metazoa; Chordata; Lepidosauria; Squamata; Phrynosomatidae. The record is from the annotation of a GenBank genome assembly.
ACUAGUGUAGCAGAAUGGUUUGAGUGUUGGACUAUGACUCUGGAGGCCAGGGUUCAAUUCCCAGAGUAGCC